This 441-nucleotide ribosomal RNA is filed under the name uncultured bacterium. RNAcentral describes it as "SSU rRNA". It matches the Rfam family "Bacterial small subunit ribosomal RNA", at positions 26 to 518 of the family's 1533-position model. The record is from RNAcentral.
AGGAUGAACGCUGGCGGUCUGCUUAACACAUGCAAGUCGAACGGAGUAGCAAUACUUAGUGGCGGACGGGUGAGUAACGCGUGAGAAUCUACCUUCAGGACGGAGACAACAGUUGGAAACGACUGCUAACCCCCGAUGUACCGAAAGGGCAAAUAUUUAUAGCCUGAAGAAGAGCUCGCGUCCGAUUAGCUAGUUGGAGAGGUAAAAGCUCACCAAGGCGACGAUCGGUAGCUGGUCUGAGAGGACGAUCAGCCACACUGGGACUGAGACACGGCCCAGACUCCUACGGGAGGCAGCAGUGGGAAUUUCGCAAUGGGCGAAAGCCUGACGGAGCGACGCCGCGUGUGGGAAGAAGGCCUUCGGGUCGUAAACCACUGUCGAAGGGACGAUAAUGACGGUACCUUGGAGGAACGCCCGGCUAACGUACGUGCCAGCAGCCGC